Molecule: ribosomal RNA, 279 nt
Filed under: uncultured bacterium
Lineage: Bacteria
Description: partial 16S ribosomal RNA
Rfam family: Bacterial small subunit ribosomal RNA
Source: RNAcentral
UGCCAGCAGCCGCGGUAACACGGGGGGCGCAAGCGUUAUUCGGAAUUACUGGGCGUAAAGCGCGCGUAGGCGGACUGUUAAGUCGGGGGUGAAAUCCCGGGGCUCAACCCCGGAACUGCCUUCGAUACUGGCAGUCUUGAGUUCUGGAGAGGCGAGUGGAAUACCGAGUGUAGAGGUGAAAUUCGUAGAUAUUCGGUGGAACACCAGUGGCGAAGGCGGCUCGCUGGCUCGAUUCUGACGCUGAGGUGCGAAAGUGUGGGGAGCAAACAGGAUUAGAUA